This is a non-coding RNA of Schizosaccharomyces pombe (fission yeast), 702 nucleotides long. The record is from the annotation of a GenBank genome assembly. NCBI's taxonomy places the organism in Eukaryota, Fungi, Ascomycota, Schizosaccharomycetes, Schizosaccharomycetales, Schizosaccharomycetaceae.
UUUUUCGGCUGCUAAUUUAUAAACUUCCUGAAACAGUUCUGGUGGAAAAUCAACCUCAGAAGAAUCUAAACCUACACCUGCAACAAUUCCAUUCUCAAAGUCGUUUCUUUUAAGGGCCUCCGCAAAAGUUUCAUGGGCUGCUUCAGAAGGCAAGUGACGCAGAAAGCACAUAAUAAGAUUAGUAGACAUUCCAAAGUCUCUAUUUGCGCGCUCACAAGCUGCUGAAAAUCCACUAACUACAACAUCGUAAGAAAUCCCUCGGCUCGUAUGUGUUUGGGGAUCGAAAAAGACCUCAGCAUGAUGAACUCCUUGUGAAUGAGCGAUAGAAAAAUAUUCAUAGGCGAGUGCUUCAAAAUCAGAGGCCUCAAUCAACACAGACACAGCAAUGUAAUAAUAGCGUAAGAAGUCAUCUAAGCAUCCAAAAUGCUCAUAGCUGGCUAACAAAGUACUCGGAGUCGUGUACGCAGCAUCAUCACUAGGAAGAGUUAUCCCGUUUUUCUUAGCUAAACGAAAUACCAAAUCUGGAGAAAGACAACCUUCUAAAUGCACAUGAUGCUCGCAUUUUGGCAGCUUUCUAAUGAAAUUGUAAAUAGGUAGAUUGCUCAUUGUAUACCUGCUUAUAAAAAGUGAAUGAUUUGAGUUAAAUUAGCCCGUUAUAUAUAUACAUUUAUUAUUUUUUUUUUCAACUAAUAAAAAAAGUUU